CUUUUUUUGAACAAGUAUUUAUUCAAUACAUUUGUUGACGAAUUCUUCAAUAAACGUAUUUGAGAGCAAUAAUUUUUCAUACGGUUUACAUAUUUUCUUCUUCAGAAAUUACGCUGUGGAGGUACCAUUUCACAGCCCAUCACGGGUUGUUGGCAUACUAAUGAUUGUGAGUUAACUCGAAUUAGACUGCUACUAAAAAGUAUUUUAGAAUAAUAGAUGCUACAAUUCUUUAGUCAGAUGUCAAGCACUCAUAUAGGAAGAUUGAUGCCGGACUAUGAAGGAAAUCUAGAACGCUUCCUCUAGAUUCUUCAGAUGUGAAUUCCAGGAUCGCAAACAUGGAGUCGAACAAAAAUUCGACUCUCAUGAAUUUAAUGAUAAUUAUUUGCAUCACCGACAUACGUCUCACAGUCGUGGUCUGAGCCACCCAUCCCAAUCCUUCAUCAUUCAUAUGCGAUUCGAUCCCAUCGCCAAUCUGUCAACCAACGAAAAACAAAAUGCUCUCGCUGUUUAAUAUCUUCUAUCUAGGAAGCAGCAUAAAACGAAGAUAAGGAGAGGAAAUAUACUUCUUCCUAUUUAUAUUUAAUUGUAAUAGAAAAUUUGUUAUGUUAAUACAAUUUCAAAUAACGAAAAACUUUUGGAAACGAAUCUAUCAAAGAAUGAUGUAGAUAUUGGCUUCUUUCAAACAAUGGUUGUUAAUACAAUGGAAAUGUAAAUUCAAGGAAAUUGUUUGCGAUAAUUUCAAUAUAUUCAUCAAUGUAUAUUUUCCAUUAUGAAAUAUUUUAUUUCAAAGGUCGAGAAGAUAACAUCCUUAAUACAAGUUUAGAUUGGCCGGAUUGGCCGCGUGGAAAUACUUCGGCAUUCCAUUCUGAAGGACCCGGGUUUGAGAGUCGGGUCCCACCCCUUGAAAAUAUUUAUCAUGGGAUCCGAAUCAGACCCGUCGAUCCCCGUUCUCCACAAUCUGGCUGACCCUUCCGCAGGGGUGGGCAGCCUGUGGAAGAGCUUGUUUCACGCUGCCAGUUAAUUUUUUCCUGAAUGGAAAGUGGCGUCAUCUGUUGACAAAAAAUAAACGUUUAAUAAAUUCUGAAAAAAUUAUUAAACGUGUCUAAACUUUAAUAACGUGUCUAUUUAAAUUUCAGGUUUGUUGCUGUGAUCUGAAUACAGAAAAGGGUAACGAAACGGUUCAAGAACU
This 1189-nucleotide long non-coding RNA is filed under the name Androctonus crassicauda. The record is from RNAcentral. Lineage: Eukaryota; Metazoa; Arthropoda; Arachnida; Scorpiones; Buthidae.